CCGGUUGAUUGUAGAAAACCUCAAAGCUGUUUGCAAAAAGAAUAAAGCAGUAAGAUUAUUAGUAAAAACCAUUUUUUAAAAACUAAAAGCCAGCGAGGAACAAAAUCUGCUGAGAACAUUACGGGGCCCCAGGGAGCCCUCGGCUUCUAAUAAGGAAGGUCUUCAUUUCUGAUGGCUCCUCUGAAAGUGGGAACAGAUGGGAUCCUGGAAUGGGGGGGAUACAUGCGCCCACCACCAACUCCGGGGAAUAAAGGGGCGCAUUAGACCGACCGGCAGCAUCGCUUCCAGCAGGACUUCAAAACGCCUGCAAGUUCAUUGCUUCACACUGGGGGCGAAGCAGGCCCAGACAGGGGGGGGGCAUAUGGGCCACUUGGCUGGGGCCCCCGAUUCCAAAGGGGGCCUCGGUCAGCAUAUUUAUCUAUAUUUUCCAUUUUGUCUUUAUAUGCAGAUACGGUUCAAGCCUUGAAAUAAAAUUAUUUGUCAGCAUACCUGGCCCGGGCCUCUGCCUGGCUCUGCAAGGCUCUGGGGCGAAGCCUCGCAUUUGAACCACCACCAGCAGGAAUUAUGAUCUGAAAUCCCUCCACAGAAGACAGGGAGGGAGGGAGGGAGGGAUAUAAGGUGAUUCACUAGGUGUGUGCCCAGUGUUAACCUUUUCCUUCCAGCCUUAACAUCACCAUCAGCCUUCGAGGUUAGAGCAUCAGGAUCGCACCAGUCAGUCGGCUCACUGGGGCCGUUGCGCGUUGCUCGCCACCGACUGCAACGAGGCCUAUUCAGUAGAGUCUGAUAACAUUCUCACAGCCUUCCCCACGUACCACUCCGUACAUAGCAACAGGCACAUUAGCUGGGGGUGGAGAGAAGAUUGGGGAACUGCCUUUCGCCAGCAGCAACAGAGACCUCUGCCUGGCCGCUGAGAAGCAACAAAUGCAGCAUGAAACUAAAGCAAUUCUUCGAGUCUCUGGAUCGUGCGGGAAACACUUAUUGCAUGAAUAAAAAACGUGUUUGGGCUCCUUUAAUAUCUUUGGAAAGUUGCAUUUUUGUGCCUCCCACCCCCCCAUAUCUUAAUUUCGACGGAGCCUCAGCUUCAGGAUCUGUCCUUCCAGUGAGCACUCAGG
This 1112-nucleotide long non-coding RNA is filed under the name Podarcis lilfordi (Lilford's wall lizard). The record is from RNAcentral. Lineage: Eukaryota; Metazoa; Chordata; Lepidosauria; Squamata; Lacertidae.